Molecule: long non-coding RNA, 1018 nt
Organism: Neofelis nebulosa (Clouded leopard)
Lineage: Eukaryota; Metazoa; Chordata; Mammalia; Carnivora; Felidae
Exons: 4
Source: RefSeq, a predicted model, not a curated record
CUGUCUACAUGGAGUCUACAGACCUUCUUUGGGAAGAGGAAUCGUAGGAGAACUAUUGACUUUCUUCAAGCAGUAUCAUGGCUGGAUUUGUGUUUUAGGAUAAUCUCCUUGGCUCCUGUGUGGGGUAGAUUCAGAAGUCUUGAUACUUUCCUGCAAGGAGCUACCUGCCGAGUGAAGGUCAGGACAUAAUUUUGAGCUCUUGGCGUAAUUAUUUUGAUGAAGUGCAUCCCGAGAUCAGAGCCUCACUGACGUCUAUUUGACAAGAACUCAGAGCAGUAAAGGGGAGAAGAAAGCUGUGUGUGCAGCUUGGAAGCCACAGAUAAAUGGGGCCUAUUCACAAGGCAGUGUGAAAAACAGGAGAGUGAUGGUAGCCAUUUUGCAAGGUGCAGGACUUAUGGACUCAUAAGUCUUUUAGAACUUGGCAAUUGUGCUUCAAAAUGAUGGAGAAAAAUGAGCAAGUGACUGCACACCGAAUAUAACCCACCUUUCUGAGAGCAGGAAGCAGGAGCCCAUGCUCAUGCCUCAUGUGGCAUUUCUGUGCACGAUCCAUCAUCUGGGCUGGGGAAUUCACAGGCCUCGGAAACCUCUGCAGAGCCUCAAAGCAGGAUGUAAAGAUUGAGCUACAGCUUUGACAAUUUCUGAGCUCUUGCUGUGGCUGAGAUCAAGGAACCAUAGUUAAUCACCAAGGGGUUGGUGGAUGCUGCUGCCACUUCUCCACACAAAGCACCAAGGCCAACCCAGCCCAAAGCUAGAAGACCACAGGACCUGGGCAUAUUGACAGCUACUCAUGGGUCUGAAAAGAUGGAGUGUGUCCCAAGCACUGAAGAGGCUUCUGCAAGUCUCCUGUGUCUUCUGAACAUGCCUCAGGAAGCUGUUCUUCAGCCGUUACCUAGGAAUUUGAGAUUUAAGGCUUGAAGCUUAAAGACCAUGGAAUCACUGGCAUUUCAUUGGGAACUGAGACAGUGGAUAUGGACACGCUUUGAAAGAUGUAACAAAUAAAAGCAGAGAUUAUUACGGA